CCCUUGGGGGUGCCUAUACAUGCAAGUCGAACGCGUUGGCCCAAUUGAUUGAUGGUGCUUGCACCUGAUUGAUUUUGGUCGCCAACGAGUGGCGGACGGGUGAGUAACACGUAGGUAACCUGCCCAGAAGCGGGGGACAACAUUUGGAAACAGAUGCUAAUACCGCAUAACAGCGUUGUUCGCAUGAACAACGCUUAAAAGAUGGCUUCUCGCUAUCACUUCUGGAUGGACCUGCGGUGCAUUAGCUUGUUGGUGGGGUAACGGCCUACCAAGGCGAUGAUGCAUAGCCGAGUUGAGAGACUGAUCGGCCACAAUGGGACUGAGACACGGCCCAUACUCCUACGGGAGGCAGCAGUAGGGAAUCUUCCACAAUGGGCGCAAGCCUGAUGGAGCAACACCGCGUGAGUGAAGAAGGGUUUCGGCUCGUAAAGCUCUGUUGUUAAAGAAGAACACGUAUGAGAGUAACUGUUCAUACGUUGACGGUAUUUAACCAGAAAGUCACGGCUAACUACGUGCCAGCAGCCGCGGUAAUACGUAGGUGGCAAGCGUUAUCCGGAUUUAUUGGGCGUAAAGAGAGUGCAGGCGGUUUUCUAAGUCUGAUGUGAAAGCCUUCGGCUUAACCGGAGAAGUGCAUCGGAAACUGGAUAACUUGAGUGCAGAAGAGGGUAGUGGAACUCCAUGUGUAGCGGUGGAAUGCGUAGAUAUAUGGAAGAACACCAGUGGCGAAGGCGGCUACCUGGUCUGCAACUGACGCUGAGACUCGAAAGCAUGGGUAGCGAACAGGAUUAGAUACCCUGGUAGUCCAUGCCGUAAACGAUGAGUGCUAGGUGUUGGAGGGUUUCCGCCCUUCAGUGCCGGAGCUAACGCAUUAAGCACUCCGCCUGGGGAGUACGACCGCAAGGUUGAAACUCAAAGGAAUUGACGGGGGCCCGCACAAGCGGUGGAGCAUGUGGUUUAAUUCGAAGCUACGCGAAGAACCUUACCAGGUCUUGACAUCUUGCGCCAACCCUAGAGAUAGGGCGUUUCCUUCGGGAACGCAAUGACAGGUGGUGCAUGGUCGUCGUCAGCUCGUGUCGUGAGAUGUUGGGUUAAGUCCCGCAACGAGCGCAACCCUUGUUACUAGUUGCCAGCAUUAAGUUGGGCACUCUAGUGAGACUGCCGGUGACAAACCGGAGGAAGGUGGGGACGACGUCAGAUCAUCAUGCCCCUUAUGACCUGGGCUACACACGUGCUACAAUGGACGGUACAACGAGUCGCGAACUCGCGAGGGCAAGCAAAUCUCUUAAAACCGUUCUCAGUUCGGACUGCAGGCUGCAACUCGCCUGCACGAAGUCGGAAUCGCUAGUAAUCGCGGAUCAGCAUGCCGCGGUGAAUACGUUCCCGGGCCUUGUACACACCGCCCGUCACACCAUGAGAGUUUGUAACACCCAAAGUCGGUGGGGUAACCUUUUAGGAGCCAGCCGCCUAAGGUGACAGUUGUCCUUUUUAACCGUAGACG
RNAcentral lists this ribosomal RNA (1498 nucleotides) under Limosilactobacillus fermentum. RNAcentral's name for it is "bacterial SSU rRNA". It matches the Rfam family "Bacterial small subunit ribosomal RNA". Lineage: Bacteria; Bacillati; Bacillota; Bacilli; Lactobacillales; Lactobacillaceae. The record is from RNAcentral.